AAAGGGAGACCUAAUUCAGGUAUAAGACGAAAAAAAAGUAGUCGCUACCAAGAAUCAAUCCCAAAAGGUCGGAGCGAGGCGAAAUUGGCUUUCAAACUAGGUUCUGGGUUCACACAAGACCUGAAUCAGGAACAAGGGCUAUUAGCUCAGGUGGUUAGAGCGCACCCCUGAUAAGGGUGAGGUCCCUGGUUCGAGUCCAGGAUGGCCCACCUGCACAGGUGGCAAAAACAAGAGAAGCUCCGAAUCAGCACCUUAUCUUACUGACAUAGUAAGAGAGAAUGCUGGCUCUGAGUAAAGAGUCCAGAGGAACCUUGAAAACUGCAUAGAGCUAGGUGAAAAAGCCAAAAAAGAAGACCGCAAG
Molecule: transfer RNA, 361 nt
Filed under: uncultured Microcystis sp.
Lineage: Bacteria; Bacillati; Cyanobacteriota; Cyanophyceae; Chroococcales; Microcystaceae
Description: partial 16S-23S ribosomal RNA intergenic spacer
Rfam family: tRNA (bases 136-209)
Source: RNAcentral